RNAcentral lists this long non-coding RNA (433 nucleotides) under Felis catus (domestic cat). Its description in RNAcentral is "lncRNA (ENSFCAG00000045433.2)". The record is from RNAcentral. Lineage: Eukaryota; Metazoa; Chordata; Mammalia; Carnivora; Felidae.
CUUUAAUUUCCUCUUUUUUUUUUUGAUUGAGAAAUACCAAUUGUAUCAGAUGAGGGAGUUCCUGUCUGUGUCAGAGUCACCUGUUGAGGGGAUCAUAUUGGUAUUCUCAGGUUACAGUUUUGAUUGCCCACUAUAUUCAUCGCUGCAUUACUGGUGGCUGAGACAGAGUCUCUGUUUCCGAAGCCAAUGUGCUUCCAAAGAGGCCGUGAUGCUGGGCGAUGGGGAAGAGACCGACUGAGGAAUUUGCUAAAGCCUCCUGAUGUUUGAUUGGAUGGAGAAAAGAAUGGAGCUGGAAUCCCAGUCAGGAAACGAAUACAAGAGGUGAGGUUGGAGCUGAUCGGCACUGAGCCGGGAUAUCAGCAUCUGCAGUGGAAAAGGCAGAAGAGCUGUUGGGGGAAAUAAAGAGCAAGGCUUGAAGGUAGGAGGAAAAAAU